GCUCUUUUCGUCUAGCGGCCCAGGACACCGAGCACCCGCAAGGGACUCGGAAACGCCGGUUCGAAUCCGGCCGAGAGCACC
RNAcentral lists this transfer RNA (81 nucleotides) under Microtetraspora sp. NBRC 16547. RNAcentral describes it as "tRNA-Cys". It matches the Rfam family "tRNA". From Rfam's summary of the family: Transfer RNA (tRNA) molecules are approximately 80 nucleotides in length. Their secondary structure includes four short double-helical elements and three loops (D, anti-codon, and T loops). The record is from RNAcentral. Lineage: Bacteria; Bacillati; Actinomycetota; Actinomycetes; Streptosporangiales; Streptosporangiaceae.